CAGCAGCCACGGGAAUACGUAGGGUGCGAGCGUUAAUCGGAAUUACUGGGCGUAAAGCGUGCGCAGGCGGUUGUGUAAGACAGGUGUGAAAUCCCCGGGCUUAACCUGGGAACUGCACUUGUGACUGCACAGCUAGAGUAUGGCAGAGGGGGGUGGAAUUCCACGUGUAGCAGUGAAAUGCGUAGAGAUGUGGAGGAACACCGAUGGCGAAGGCAGCCCCCUGGGCCAAUACUGACGCUCAUGCACGAAAGCGUGGGGAGCAAACAGGAUUAGAUACCCGCGUAGUCCCUGUCUCUUAUAC
RNAcentral lists this ribosomal RNA (301 nucleotides) under uncultured bacterium. RNAcentral describes it as "partial 16S ribosomal RNA". It matches the Rfam family "Bacterial small subunit ribosomal RNA", at positions 509 to 807 of the family's 1533-position model. The record is from RNAcentral.